Corythoichthys intestinalis (scribbled pipefish) is the source of this 334-nucleotide long non-coding RNA. RefSeq lists it as uncharacterized. The record is from RefSeq and is a predicted model, not a curated record. The transcript has 3 exons. NCBI's taxonomy places the organism in Eukaryota, Metazoa, Chordata, Actinopteri, Syngnathiformes, Syngnathidae.
CCUAUCAUCAAAUUCAGAUGCCUGCAGCUGCGGUCUACUAACCUCUAUUAACAUCAUCUUGGGUGCUGCUUUGGCCUUAAGCUUCAUUCUGUUAGUCCUCCUCAUAUACAACCUCAAGACCAAACAAUGUUUUUGCUUCAAGGCUUGUCCACAAACAUGGAAUAAAAGAUCCAAUCGUGUACAGAAGAGAGAGGAAGAUUCUUUGGUUUACUCGGCCCCAACUAUUGUCGCCAGGAAAAGCGGCAAAUCGAACCAGACCAGGGACGAAUUCAGCACAUAUACUGAUGUCAGACUUCGGGAAUCCUAAAAUGAUGAAAUUAAUCUGAUGGCUUCU